AAUCGUAGAAAUCGAACGCUUUGUUGAUUGCUUCAACCUGGAGGAGAUUAUCAUCAUCCAGUUAUUAUCAUCAUCCAGCUAUCAUCAACAUUUUGCUAUUAUCAUGAUCUAGUUAUCUUCCUCAUUCAGUUUUCUUCAUAAACGUUGUCACCUCGAUGUCGAGAAUGCGCCAUUUGUCCCAAGACUCAGUAUCCUUAGGCACAGGGUUGCUCUUUACCCAACCCCCGCAAGCGUAGCUGUAGAAAUCCACGCACGGGUCAACGCUAGGAUCUAGGGACCGCACCAGGUCUGCAGGAUUGAUAAUAGAAUAACGAUUUAUUUGUGGCUUGAGGAAAUUCAAGGAUAGGAAAUGAAACAAAAGCAAUGGGGGUAGCCUGGAAACCAGAGGCUCAAUUCGUUUUUUUUUUUAGCAAAAAUAAAAGGAGAGAGAAAGGGCCAGCAAAUCUAUGCUAGUUCUCGGACUAACAGGGGGUGGGUAAAACAGACUUGCAGCCUCUGAAACAAAGGGUAGAAUAAGGGUCCCUGAAUUACACCCAUUGGCUGAUGUUGUGAAUUUUAUAAUUAUAUGUAUGAGGCAACAACAAAACCCAGACAAGAAAUUAUCCGCAGUUCCCUUCUCUCAAAUUCUAAUACAAUGAUAUGUAAGCACACACGCAUAGGGAAGGUUCAAUAAAAGUGUCUCACGGAUUGCGGGCGGUUCAUAGCACAUGAGUUGUGAGCUUCCUAAAACCUAUCACA
Molecule: long non-coding RNA, 738 nt
Organism: Nematostella vectensis (starlet sea anemone)
Lineage: Eukaryota; Metazoa; Cnidaria; Anthozoa; Actiniaria; Edwardsiidae
Exons: 2
Source: RefSeq, a predicted model, not a curated record